UGUUACUUUCGCUAGUUGGUUUUGGAUUACUAAAAUUUUUGAAAUUUAACGGAUUUGGCGGCAAGAUAGCCCGUUCAGAGGAACCUGCCCUAUAAACGAUGAGCCACGAGAGACUCUACUUCUUUUUGUAAUCAGUUUGUAUACCGCUGUUGUCAGUCAGUUUUAUUAGGAAACUUUCGUUAAUGAUAUAUGUUCAUUGACUUCAAGUAAAGGUGCAGCUAAUGAAGAAGUUAGAGGUGGGUUACAAUUUAAAGGUAAAUACGGUAGAUGAUAUGAAAAAUCAUCUUAAGGUGGAUUUGAUUGUAAAGUUCAAGCUAACUUGAUAUGAGCACUAACUUGUG
Molecule: ribosomal RNA, 341 nt
Filed under: Chthamalus bisinuatus
Lineage: Eukaryota; Metazoa; Arthropoda; Thecostraca; Balanomorpha; Chthamalidae
Description: partial 12S ribosomal RNA
Source: RNAcentral